This 475-nucleotide ribosomal RNA is filed under the name uncultured bacterium. Its description in RNAcentral is "bacterial SSU rRNA". It matches the Rfam family "Bacterial small subunit ribosomal RNA", at positions 9 to 484 of the family's 1533-position model. The record is from RNAcentral.
GAGUUUGAUCCUGGCUCAGGAUGAACGCUGGCGGCGUGCUUAACACAUGCAAGUCGAGCGGAGCACAUCGUUGGAAUCCUUCGGGAGGAAGAGGAUGUGGCUUAGCGGCGGACGGGUGAGUAACGCGUGGACAACCUGCCCUAUGCAGGGGGAUAACAUCCGGAAACGGGUGCUAAUACCGCAUAAGCGCACAGUACCGCAUGGUACAGUGUGAAAAGCUGAGGCGGCAUAGGAUGGGUCCGCGUUGGAUUAGGCAGUUGGCGGGGUAACGGCCCACCAAACCGACGAUCCAUAGCCGGCCUGAGAGGGUGGACGGCCACAUUGGGACUGAGACACGGCCCAGACUCCUACGGGAGGCAGCAGUGGGGAAUAUUGCACAAUGGGGGGAACCCUGAUGCAGCGACGCCGCGUGGGUGAGGAAGUACUUCGGUAUGUAAAGCCCUAUCAGCAGGGAAGAAAAUGACGGUACCUGACU